Parus major (Great Tit) is the source of this 1583-nucleotide long non-coding RNA. Lineage: Eukaryota; Metazoa; Chordata; Aves; Passeriformes; Paridae. The record is from Ensembl.
CGGGGGAGCAUCAAUCAGCCCUAAUUCCUCGUGGGGAAGAGCAGUGGGGCUCUCAAGCACACGGGUACCAGAACCCACAGACGUGUGGCAAUGACACAUGGCACUGCAGCCUUGGCUCCACAGGGAGCAGGCACUUGAGGUGACAUUGCCAAAGGGGCUCUGCCUGGAAAAGGACCGGGCCCCAGGGGUGAUGCUGCCACAGGACGAGCCAUAGGACAUGGACACCUGAGGUGACACCGGCACAGGGACAGCCUUGGCUGCGCCGGACACCUGAGGAGACCGGGGCACGGACAGCACCCCCCGGGCUUCCGCGGCCGCCCCCUCCCCUCCGGUUACCUGCGGUGCUCCCCGCUCCGCUCCUGCCGCCCCCGCUGCCGCUGUGGCCGCGGUACGAGCCCCGCACUCCGGCCAGCCCCGCUGCCCGUCCCGCCGCGGCUCCCGCCCGUCGCCACGGUAACGCGGACGGCGGCGGGCGAGGCGGGAAGGCGGCCGGGACAGGGCCGGGACAGGGCCGGGACAGGCCCGGGACAGGGCCGAGAACUGCCCCUAUGGGCGCAGGGGGAGCGGCGCGGACAUCCCGCGGUCACUCCCUGCGUCCCUCCUUCGAUCCGACGUACCCUACAGGAUUAACUUUGCGGAGACUGUGAGAGGUUAUGGCAUGUGAGGUGGGAUGAUGGUCAAGGGAGCUGCCAGAGACAAGAGAGUGCCAUUACCACCUUUCUUUCCUUGCUGCCUGAUUCACCCAGCACUGAAGCUGAAUGACACCGGGCACAGUAUUUCAUUGAAGAGAAAACACUGCCAUGCUGCUUUGCCUGUGACAAUCAAAGGCAGGAAUCUUGACAGGAGCUUCUUAAGGAAUCCAUGUGAGAUGGAUGUGUGUGCCUCCACUGGAGAGAAGACUAAUUCUGCUCACAGAGACCCUUCCUACUCUUAAGUCAUCUUUUGGAGAUAGAUUUUUUCACCUUGUUUUCUGAAGUUAAUAUUGCUGAGUGCCAUGAUUGAGACAUUUUACCUGGGAAAUGGGUUUUAGAUUCCAAUGGACAGCUUAUUUUGGUGUGUGCUAUGGAGACUGGGCCACCUGCAUUUUGCAUUUAACUCUGUUUUGGUAGGAGGCGUCCCAGGUAUUCCUCAGAGAAUGACACAGCCUUGCCUGUGGAGAAGCAUGAGGCUGAGUGGAAGUGGGAAAUAACAGUGCUUUGGCACAACUUCUCAGCAUCUUCUCUUGUGCCACGUGCAGAAAUUAAGGCUUUCCAGGUACUUGCCAGUGAAUAAGCAGAUCUGCUCUUACAACUCAGCGCUACCACUCAUACAAACUGUGGUAUACCCUGAUGUUUAUUGCUCCACACACUACCUAACAGCUAUAUGAAACAGCAUAAAAAUGUGCAAUCUAGUGCUUGGUGUGGCUUGGUCACUUAAUUACAAAGGGUUUGAAGGCACUGAGCAUGGGGAGUUAGAAGUACUUAAUAGUGGAUGAAAAGUUUCCUUUUGACUAUCUUUGACUAUCAGUCAGAUGUGAGCUCUGAGCUUUGCUGCUGGAAUAGCUCUUGAAUAAAAUACCAAUAUACUUUCUACCUCCUUGGUUG